UGCUCAACUAGGACCAGACAAAGCCAAAUCCACAGGCCCUCUCCGAAACAGGGUCCGUGGCAGGAAAAGAGACCCAUCCAAAUCUAUGGGUAACGUGCUCUCUCUGCAGACUUCUGGGAGCAGAUGCUGAAGAGACUCUUUCAAUAGAGAAGAUGUUUUCUUUUGUAAAGACAGACUAAAAGCAAAGGCCAUGUUUAUUUUUGCUCCUAGCCCUAUCCCAUGUGUAAUGCCAACUAUGUAUAGUAUUUAAAAGAACCCUCCCCACAAGGCUCAACUUUUCUCUAUGUACUGUAAAAUAGAAUUUUGAGGAGAUUUUUAUACACACACCCCCCCAAACACACACUCACACCAUUGGCUACAAAGAUAAGAGUUGAUUGAAACAGUAAGUAAAAGGCUAGUAUCCAGGAGUUCAGUGACUUCAAGGAAGGAAGGAAAGAUGGAGGGAAUGAGGGAGAUAAGCAGGAAGGAGGAAAGAUGAUAGAAUGGAAGGAAGGAAGGAAGGAAGGAAGGAAGGAAGGAAGGAAGGAAGGAAGGAAAAUGUAGAAAACAUUAGGGAGCACAUUUUAAGGUUUCCACAGUUGUGCUCUAAUAUGGCCACUCAUCUGCCACAGCUCCGAGAAUGAAAAUAUAUGGCUCAAAAACAAAAUGAAAUGAAGUCAUGGGGGAUAUAGUUAGCAAGUUCCUGAUCUUUCCCAGCUAAAAGGAUAAAAGAGAGAGGCGGGAAAGUAGAAAAGAAAGUAGAAAGGAAGAGUCGGCACGAGGAUGCUUCUGGCUGGAUAAUAAUAUUUGCAGGCAAUGCACCCAAGGAGACACAGUUCUCAUGACAAGGACACAUAUGAACCUUUGUAUGUCAAGGUCUGAGCAAAGCACAGUGAACAUGCAGAGCACGUAUGACAGCCACUCUGUAAGAUUCAAGAAAGGUUCAUCUCUCAUGAUCUGUCAGAUACGCAUUGUAUGCUAAUUUGUUCAGCCUUUUGAAAGCCAUGCAUGCAUAUGUACAUAUUUUAAUCCCAUAAUUGACAAACUUGAUCUACCGCACUGAGCUCAGAGUCCUACGUCUGUCGUACAUGUAACAACAGCUUUAACCGGGUACUCUCUGUGCAUUGUAGAAUAGAUUUAAUAAUUAUGUAGCAUGUACAUUUUUAUUUUGUACUCGUGACUUCAUUGUGACUGUGGUGAUGACAGCCCUUGGUGUGCUGUCUGUAUUGCUGUGUUCUAUCCCUUCCCAGCCUUCUAAGUUCCUAGGCCAAUAUACAUUCAGAGUUUC
RNAcentral lists this long non-coding RNA (1267 nucleotides) under Mus musculus (house mouse). Its description in RNAcentral is "long non-coding RNA chr17:43455324-43456591". The record is from RNAcentral. Lineage: Eukaryota; Metazoa; Chordata; Mammalia; Rodentia; Muridae.